ACGGACGCGUUCCAAAGAGGACGUCCGCACUUUCGGUAAAGUGCGGACGACGGCGCUGCAGCCCAACUCAGGAAACGACGGCGCGGCGCGGCUUGCCGGAGGGAGGUUAGGGGUCGUGCGGAGGGCUCUGUGGUCGAGUGAAGUCGCCGGCGACGGGUUUUCCGGUGCUGCACAGAACCUGCAACUACAAGUGAGGUGGCUGCCCAGAAACCAGCAACCCGACCUCCUCCGACCUCGAACGGUGCCCAGAAGCCGUCUGGGAUGCUUCCGGCCCGAUUCGCGCAGCCGUCGACGCCUGAGCUGGGCUGCAGCGCCGACGUCCGCACUUUAGCGAAGUGCGGACGUCCGC
RNAcentral lists this long non-coding RNA (349 nucleotides) under Rosa chinensis. RNAcentral describes it as "sRNA RchiOBHm_Chr2g0164411". The record is from RNAcentral. Lineage: Eukaryota; Viridiplantae; Streptophyta; Magnoliopsida; Rosales; Rosaceae.